AUAAAUAUAGUUUAAUUUUAAAACAUUAUAUUUUCAUUAUAAAAAUAAUAUGUAACUAUUUAUUUAUC
This 68-nucleotide transfer RNA is filed under the name Pheidole fervida. Its description in RNAcentral is "tRNA-Glu". The record is from RNAcentral. Lineage: Eukaryota; Metazoa; Arthropoda; Insecta; Hymenoptera; Formicidae.